UCACAAGGACGAGAGCAGGAGCUGG
RNAcentral lists this non-coding RNA (25 nucleotides) under Rattus norvegicus (Norway rat). The record is from RNAcentral. Lineage: Eukaryota; Metazoa; Chordata; Mammalia; Rodentia; Muridae.